AGGUGAUCCCUGUCCUGCACCUUGCACCAGCUGCCACAAACUCAGUGCAAACCUGAGCUACUCAGACCUGUCUGUGACACAGGGUCAGAGCUCCAUAGACCAAAACAGCUUUUUUUGGUGUCCUGCCUCAUUGGAAACUGACCAAGAGAAAUAGUUCCUCUGGCAAAAUCCUGGCUCCUUGAAAGAAAAGCACAUUAUGAAACUGCCUGCUUUGAAGAAACGAGGAAUGACUGCCAUUUACCACCUUUCUCAAUUAAACAGUCCCACAAUUCAGGUAUGUAGCAAUAUGUUCAAG
RNAcentral lists this long non-coding RNA (295 nucleotides) under Cyanistes caeruleus (blue tit). RNAcentral's name for it is "lncRNA (ENSCCEG00000016468.1)". Lineage: Eukaryota; Metazoa; Chordata; Aves; Passeriformes; Paridae. The record is from RNAcentral.